RNAcentral lists this non-coding RNA (98 nucleotides) under Fibrisoma limi. RNAcentral's name for it is "TPP sequence". It matches the Rfam family "TPP riboswitch aptamer (THI element)". Rfam says of the family: Vitamin B(1) in its active form thiamin pyrophosphate (TPP) is an essential coenzyme that is synthesised by coupling of pyrimidine and thiazole moieties in bacteria. RNAcentral also lists the same sequence under 1 other name. The record is from RNAcentral. Lineage: Bacteria; Pseudomonadati; Bacteroidota; Cytophagia; Cytophagales; Spirosomataceae.
AAUCUUAUAAAGGGGUGCCCUAACAGAACGGGCUGAGAUUAUACCCAUCGAACCUGCUCCGGGUAAUGCCGGCGAAGGGAACUGGAUUUCUUAUAACA